RNAcentral lists this ribosomal RNA (274 nucleotides) under uncultured bacterium. RNAcentral's name for it is "partial 16S ribosomal RNA". It matches the Rfam family "Bacterial small subunit ribosomal RNA", at positions 523 to 796 of the family's 1533-position model. The record is from RNAcentral.
AUACGUAGGAACCGAGCGUUGUCCGGAUUUACUGGGCGUAAAGGGCGCGUAGGCGGCCUACUAAGUCCCAUGUGAAAUCUCCCGGCCUAACUGGGAGGGGUCAUGAGAAACUGGUAGGCUCGAGGGCAGCAGAGGAGAGUGGAAUUCCCGGAGUAGUGGUGAUAUGCGUAGAUACCGGGAGGAACACCCGAGGCGAAGGCGACUCUCUGGGCUGCAUCUGACGCUGAGGCGCGAAAGCAUGGGGAGCAAACCGGAUUAGAAACCCCUGUAGUCC